GACGAACGCUGGCGGCGUGCCUAAUACAUGCAAGUUGAGCGCUGAAGGUUGGUACUUGUACCGACUGGAUGAGCAGCGAACGGGUGAGUAACGCGUGGGGAAUCUGCCUUUGAGCGGGGGACAACAUUUGGAAACGAAUGCUAAUACCGCAUAAAAACUUUAAACACAAGUUUUAAGUUUGAAAGAUUCAAUUGCAUCACUCAAAGAUGAUCCCGCGUUGUAUUAGCUAGUUGGUGAGGUAAAGGCUCACCAAGUCGAUGAUACAUAGCCGACCUGAGAGGGUGAUCGGCCACAUUGGGACUGAGACACGGCCCAAACUCCUACGGGAGGCAGCAGUAGGGAAUCUUCGGCAAUGGACGAAAGUCUGGCCGAGCAGCGCCGCGUGAGUGAAGAAGGUUUUCGGAUCGUAAAACUCUGUUGGUAGAGAAGAACGUUGGUGAGAGUGGAAAGCUCAUCAAGUGACGGUAACUACCCAGAAAGGGACGGCUAACUACGUGCCAGCAGCCGCGGUAA
This 513-nucleotide ribosomal RNA is filed under the name uncultured bacterium. RNAcentral's name for it is "partial 16S ribosomal RNA". It matches the Rfam family "Bacterial small subunit ribosomal RNA", at positions 28 to 523 of the family's 1533-position model. The record is from RNAcentral.